This 530-nucleotide ribosomal RNA is filed under the name uncultured beta proteobacterium. Its description in RNAcentral is "bacterial SSU rRNA". It matches the Rfam family "Bacterial small subunit ribosomal RNA", at positions 393 to 916 of the family's 1533-position model. The record is from RNAcentral. Lineage: Bacteria; Pseudomonadati; Pseudomonadota; Betaproteobacteria.
CAUGCCGCGAGCAGGAUGAAGGCCUUCGGGUUGUAAACUGCUUUUGUACGGAACGAAACGGUGAGCUCUAAUACAGUUUGCUAAUGACGGUACCGUAAGAAUAAGCACCGGCUAACUACGUGCCAGCAGCCGCGGUAAUACGUAGGGUGCGAGCGUUAAUCGGAAUUACUGGGCGUAAAGCGUGCGCAGGCGGUGAUGUAAGACAGAUGUGAAAUCCCCGGGCUCAACCUGGGACCUGCAUUUGUGACUGCAUCGCUAGAGUACGGUAGAGGGGGAUGGAAUUCCGCGUGUAGCAGUGAAAUGCGUAGAUAUGCGGAGGAACACCGAUGGCGAAGGCAAUCCCCUGGACCUGUACUGACGCUCAUGCACGAAAGCGUGGGGAGCAAACAGGAUUAGAUACCCUGGUAGUCCACGCCCUAAACGAUGUCAACUGGUUGUUGGGUCUUCACUGACUCAGUAACGAAGCUAACGCGUGAAGUUGACCGCCUGGGGAGUACGGCCGCAAGGUUGAAACUCAAAUGAAUUGACGG